CUGAUGAUAUUAGUUGAGGCAGAUUGAUCAUUGGCCUACAGCUCUGCUAUGAUGAUGAUUAUCAGAGUCAGUACUUUAACGCUACAACUAUAAUGAGCACCAAUUGUAUGCCCAUGAUCGGCUUCCUUACCAUGCUUUAUUAUCGUGUCUCAAGUUUACACAAGAAUUGCAUACUCUGCCUUUACUUUCUGUGAGCCUGUGCGAAUUGAGAAUGAUCCGGAUCCUUGCUAUCAUGAACCGUCGCGGUUCAUUGUCUCAUAUAAGGUCUCGGAGUUUAACGAGACUGAUUUCGAAGAAUACGAUCCAACUGCUUUCGGUGGUGGCUAUGAUCCUGCUGCAACUUACGGAAAACCUUUUCCUCCGUCGGACAAAAUUUGUUACCCCAGUUCAACGCCGGAUCCGAAUGCCUUAUCAUUAAAUGGCGUCUCCUAUGGAUCGAUUACAGCACCUCAAUGAACCGGCUCCGAAACCUUGAAGUGAAAGGAAACCGCUUAGGCUUCCUGCUAUUGAAGCAGCGCCGCUGUCCCUUGAACAUAGCAAUGGCAAAGGAAAUUCCUGAGAGAAGUCUCUAGUCUUGCAUAAAGGUGAAGAAAGUGAUGAAAACGAGGGUGAUCAUCACGAUUCUUAGCCUGGCUAUGAUACUGGAUAUUGGAAUGGAUCAAGUGGAGAACUUGGUUAUGAGUAUGGCCAGGAAGUGCCACAAAUUCCAUCAGGAUAUGGCUUAGAAGCAAUGGACCAGCUUUGUGAAAGUUAUUUGGUUACUGGCCUUGUCUUUCUAGGCAUGCUAGGAAUGACAAUGAUCGUCAACAAGCUACAGAUUGUGGAAGUUAUGGGAACCAAGGAAGGGGACUGCUGAUUAUCUAUUUGGAAGCUCAAAUCCUUAUGCUGAAAGAAGGGAUGCAGGCAGCAGCUAUGGGAAUGCUAUAUAUGUCCAUGGGAGGCAUUAUCAAGAGGAACCUCUCUGUUAACAGGUCAAGUAUGUUGAGGAUUCAUGGUCAGCUUGAGCAUGUUGCACGGUCAUUUGUGCAUCUUCUUGAAUAAUUCAUCCAUUCCAGCCAAAAGGGCGGGGUUUUAGGUCGUUUAACAAAAAUGGGUCUUCAAUAAUGGACCUUAAUAAUCUGCAAAGGCUUCAUCU
Populus euphratica (Euphrates poplar) is the source of this 1135-nucleotide long non-coding RNA. RefSeq lists it as uncharacterized. The record is from RefSeq and is a predicted model, not a curated record. NCBI's taxonomy places the organism in Eukaryota, Viridiplantae, Streptophyta, Magnoliopsida, Malpighiales, Salicaceae. The transcript is spliced from 2 exons.